CUAGGGUGAUGUGACUUAGCCAAAUCAGACAUUCAUGUGCUUCAUGAGGUGACAAACAUUAUCUUCAAAGCUUGCUUCCGUUGUAAAACUAUA
This is a small nucleolar RNA of Lotus japonicus, 93 nucleotides long. RefSeq annotates it as small nucleolar RNA snoR127. Lineage: Eukaryota; Viridiplantae; Streptophyta; Magnoliopsida; Fabales; Fabaceae. The record is from RefSeq and is a predicted model, not a curated record. The transcript has a single exon.